This 459-nucleotide long non-coding RNA is filed under the name Homo sapiens (human). RNAcentral describes it as "HSALNT0291863". The record is from RNAcentral. Lineage: Eukaryota; Metazoa; Chordata; Mammalia; Primates; Hominidae.
AGGGCUUGAGGCUGUGAGUUCAGUCUCUUUCUCUCUCUCCCUCACUCUCUCUUGCCCUUCCAGGUCCUGCCAUGAGAUGAUACAGCAAGGAGGCCCUCACCACAUGCCAGCCCCUUGAUCUUGGACUACCCAGCCUCCAAAACUACUCCUGCAAGAUGAGUAGUCAGUGACUUCCUGAGUAGAAAUCAAAUGAUCUACAAUGGUUUUAAAAACAGAGAACAGAAGAGUAAAGCUGAAAAAUACUUUGUCACUGGCCAGGUACUCCCUUUAGAAGCAGAACCAUUGCUGUAUUUGUUACUAAGAAUGCUGUAACAUAGUCACCUGCCUGUGGUCCCAGCUACUUGGGAAGCUGAGGUGGGAGGAUCGCCUGAGUCCAGAAAGUCAAGGCUGCAGAGAGCCACAUUCACUGCACUCCAGCAUGGGUGACAGAGGGAGACCCUGUCUCAAAAAAAAAAGAAA